GGAGUUUCAUGCGAUGGAAGCUGAAGAGGUGCAACUAGAAGAGUUGCAGGACUGUCCUGCGGUCCAAGCUGAGGUGGUUCAGUUGGAGUUCCUUCUGACUGCGCAAGAUUGAUCUGAAGAGGUGUGAUUGGCUCUCCUUUGUUCUGUGCAUGUUCGCAGUCCACCUGUUGGAUGUAACAGUUAGUUUCUUUCAGUUCUGGCUCUUUUUGG
Molecule: long non-coding RNA, 210 nt
Filed under: Manihot esculenta (cassava)
Lineage: Eukaryota; Viridiplantae; Streptophyta; Magnoliopsida; Malpighiales; Euphorbiaceae
Description: long non-coding RNA (MESC_LNC011406)
Source: RNAcentral